This 157-nucleotide unclassified non-coding RNA is filed under the name uncultured Sordariomycetes. Its description in RNAcentral is "sequence contains ITS1". The record is from RNAcentral. Lineage: Eukaryota; Fungi; Ascomycota; Sordariomycetes.
CAGGAGCUUUAAAAACUCCCAAACCCAUUGUAAACUUUACCUUUGUUGCUUCGGCAGGCGGCCCCUGGGAGGGGCCUGAAGCCUCGUUUAGAGGCGCCUGCCGGAGGUAUUUUAAAACUCUUUCAGUUGUAUGUCUGAGUCAAUAUCAAAUAAAUCA